This 402-nucleotide ribosomal RNA is filed under the name uncultured prokaryote. Its description in RNAcentral is "bacterial SSU rRNA". It matches the Rfam family "Bacterial small subunit ribosomal RNA", at positions 355 to 774 of the family's 1533-position model. The record is from RNAcentral.
UAGGGAAUAUUAGAAAUGGACGAAAGUCUGAUCUAGCAACACCGCGUGUGCGAAGAAGGCCUUCGGGUUGUAAAGCACUUUUUGGAAGGAUUAGGAAGGAAUGUACUUCCAGAAUAAGUCUCGGCUAACUACGUGCCAGCAGCCGCGGUAAUACGUAGGAGGCAAACGUUAUCCGGAUUUACUGGGCGUAAAGCGCGUGUAGGUGGUUCUGUAAGUAGGGCGUGAAAGCUCCUGGCUCAACUGGGAGAGGCCGUUCUAAACUGCAGAGCUAGAGGAUGGUAGAGGGAGGUGGAAUUCCGGGUGUAGCGGUGGAAUGCGCAGAUAUACGGAGGAACACCAGUGGCGAAAGCGGCUUCCUGGCACAAUACUGACGCUCAUGUGCGAAAGCUAGGGUAGCGAACG